This 426-nucleotide long non-coding RNA is filed under the name Coffea arabica (coffee). Its description in RNAcentral is "long non-coding RNA (CARA_LNC003503)". The record is from RNAcentral. Lineage: Eukaryota; Viridiplantae; Streptophyta; Magnoliopsida; Gentianales; Rubiaceae.
UAGCUUCGGAAAUAACUUGAGAAAGUUUCUUUUGGUUUUGAAGUACUUCACUGUUUGAUUGGCUUCGCUGGAAAUUUUUUUUUGUUGCUGUGGUUCUUUGUAUAGUUCAUUUUAGGCGUUGUUUGGUUUCCGCUUCAGCUGUGUAUAAUAUGCUUUGAGAAUGGGUCGAAAUAGAGUAUAUGGAAGUUUGGAAGAGGCUCGUGCUGAGAAAAAUCGAAGGAGCCGCGAGCAACGUGCUGCUGCUCGGCGUGGGACAAAGAAUGAUGCGCCAUUAGGAGUGUGUACAUUAGCUGUCACAGCUUUUAAUAUACAUGACCGAAAUGCUGUGAAUCAGCCAAAUAUGGGUGUCGUUGAAUCUUCAUUAGGUUCGGGCUCAGUAUUGUCAUUUGCAGAGAACAAUGCAGAGCACUUUCGAGCUGUAUGUCU